AUUAGAAAAAAAAUAAUGAUAAUACUUAAAGAACACCCCCCCUUUUGUUUAUUUGAGCUCUGCUAGGGUUUCAAAAGAAGCCCAUCCUCGCCGUCAUCGCUCCACCACCGUGAACGGUGGCCAUCGUCGCUCAAAAGGGGAUUUUUCAGUCGGGUUUCAGACACCUUUUAAAGGCCAUACCACCGAGACGUAGAUACACCGAAGGGAGGAGGCUUUCGGCUUCCUUCUAGGUCCGAUUCCGACGAUGGGGAUAGGCAAACGGCGAAGCAGGUGAGUCAGAGGGUGGUUGGCCGGUGGUUGCGGCGCAAGUGGGCAAGUGGGCAAGUGGGGGGUAGGUUUGGCUAGGGUUUAUGUUUUCUGGCUUCGGCUUAGGUCUAGUUGGGCUAACGGGUUGGGGUUUAAAUGUAUUGGGUUGUGGGUUAAGUGGGCUUGUGGGUAAAAGGG
Long non-coding RNA from Gossypium arboreum, 444 nucleotides. RefSeq lists it as uncharacterized. The transcript has 2 exons. The record is from RefSeq and is a predicted model, not a curated record. Lineage: Eukaryota; Viridiplantae; Streptophyta; Magnoliopsida; Malvales; Malvaceae.